GACGAACGCUGGCGGCGCGCUUAACACAUGCAAGUCGAACGGAAAGGCCUGCUUUCCCUUGUGGUUUGCGGGUACUCGAGUGGCGAACGGGUGAGUAACACGUGAGUGAUCUGCCCCCAACUUGGGUAUAAGCCUGGGAAACUGUGUCUAAUUCCCGAUAGGACUGCAGGGUGGUGCGGGUGUUGGGAACCGAUUUUCUAGUGGUUGGGGAUGAGCCCGAGGCCUAUCAGCUUGUUGGUGGGGCAAAGGCCUGCCAAGACGGGGACGGGUAGCCGGCCUGAGAGGGGGGACGGUGGAAUUGAGACUCGGUUCAGGCCCCGACGGGUAGGGGAGGCGGCGGAGGGGAAUAUAGGGCAAUGGGCGGAAGCCAGACGCAGCGAGUCCGCGAGGGAGAUGACGGGCUUCGGGUUGUAAACUGCUGGCGAACGAGAGGAAGACACCUGGGUGGAAGGGUGGUGACGGUAGUGGUAGAAGAAGCACCGGCUAACUACGUG
This 494-nucleotide ribosomal RNA is filed under the name uncultured bacterium. Its description in RNAcentral is "partial 16S ribosomal RNA". It matches the Rfam family "Bacterial small subunit ribosomal RNA", at positions 28 to 507 of the family's 1533-position model. The record is from RNAcentral.